GAUGAAGAACGUAGCGAAAUGCGAUAAGUAGUGUGAAUUGCAGACUUUAGUGAAUCAUCGAAUCUUUGAACGCACAUUGCGCCCCUUGGUAUUCCAUUGGGCAUGCCUGUUCGAGCGUCAUUUACACCCUCAAGCUCCGCUUGGUGUUGGGCGUCUGUCCCCGCUACCCGCGUGGGACUCGCCCCAAAGACAUUGGCAGCGGCUUCGCCGGCUUCUUGCGCAGCACUUUGCGCUCCACGAGGCUUUUGGCGGGCCCGCGUCCAUCACGAACCCCCCAGUUUGACCUCGAAUCAGGUAGGGAUACCCGCUGAACUUAAGCAUAUCAAUAAGCGGAGGA
This 337-nucleotide unclassified non-coding RNA is filed under the name soil metagenome. RNAcentral describes it as "partial contains 5.8S ribosomal RNA, internal transcribed spacer 2, and large subunit ribosomal RNA". The stretch from base 1 to 120 matches the Rfam family "5.8S ribosomal RNA", at positions 35 to 154 of the family's 154-position model. The record is from RNAcentral.